This 496-nucleotide ribosomal RNA is filed under the name uncultured bacterium. RNAcentral's name for it is "partial 16S ribosomal RNA". It matches the Rfam family "Bacterial small subunit ribosomal RNA", at positions 29 to 507 of the family's 1533-position model. The record is from RNAcentral.
AUGAACGCUGGCGGCGUGCCUAAUACAUGCAAGUCGAGCGAACAGACGAGGAGCUUGCUCCUCUGACGUUAGCGGCGGACGGGUGAGUAACACGUGGAUAACCUACCUAUAAGACUGGGAUAACUUCGGGAAACCGGAGCUAAUACCGGAUAAUAUAUUGAACCGCAUGGUUCAAUAGUGAAAGACGGUUUUGCUGUCACUUAUAGAUGGAUCCGCGCCGCAUUAGCUAGUUGGUAAGGUAACGGCUUACCAAGGCAACGAUGCGUAGCCGACCUGAGAGGGUGAUCGGCCACACUGGAACUGAGACACGGUCCAGACUCCUACGGGAGGCAGCAGUAGGGAAUCUUCCGCAAUGGGCGAAAGCCUGACGGAGCAACGCCGCGUGAGUGAUGAAGGUCUUCGGAUCGUAAAACUCUGUUAUUAGGGAAGAACAAAUGUGUAAGUAACUAAGCACGUCUUGACGUUACCUAAUCAGAAAGCCACGGCUAACUACGUG